GUAUUCGGGUAAUCGCUGGAAUAGCAAUGUUUCAGAGGAAAGUCCAUGCUCGCACGGUACUGAAAUGUCCGUAGUGUUUGUGCUCGGUGAAAAAAUAAGCCGAGGCCCGCUUAGGCGGUGAUGGCGAGUGACACACCUAAGUCUUUGAUAUGGUGUUAGCUCUGAAAGUGCCACAGUGACGUAGUCUUUUUGGAAACAAAGAGAGUGGAACGAGGUAAACCCCACAAGCGAGCAACCCAAAUUUUGGUAGGGGCACUUUGUUCACGGAAUAACAACGUAGAACAGAGGCGAAUAGUUCGUAGACAGAUGGUUAUCGCUCUUGUAUCCGUUAAACCUGGCGGUAUAGGAGUACAAAACAUGGCUUAUAGAA
Molecule: RNase P RNA, 370 nt
Filed under: Brochothrix thermosphacta
Lineage: Bacteria; Bacillati; Bacillota; Bacilli; Caryophanales; Listeriaceae
Also listed under: 1 other name
Description: Bacterial RNase P class B
Rfam family: Bacterial RNase P class B
About the family: Ribonuclease P (RNase P) is a ubiquitous endoribonuclease, found in archaea, bacteria and eukarya as well as chloroplasts and mitochondria.
Source: Rfam by way of RNAcentral